GAUGAACGCUGGCGGCGUGCCUAAUACAUGCAAGUCGAGCGAACGGACGAGAAGCUUGCUUUUCUGAUGUUAGCGGCGGACGGGUGAGUAACACGUGGAUAACCUACCUAUAAGACUGGGAUAACUUCGGGAAACCGGAGCUAAUACCGGAUAAUAUUUUGAACCGCAUGGUUCAAAAGUGAAAGACGGUCUUUCUGUCACUUAUAGAUGGAUCCGCGCUGCAUUAGCUAGUUGGUAAGGUAACGGCUUACCAAGGCAACGAUGCAUAGCCGACCUGAGAGGGUGAUCGGACACACUGGAAGUGAGACACGGUACAGACUCCGACGGGAGGCAGCAGUAGGGAAUCUUACGCAAUGGGCGAGAGCCUGACGGAGCAACGCGGCGUGAGUGAUGAAGGUCUUCGGAUCGUAAAACUCUGUUAUUAGGGAAGAACAUAUGUGUAAGUAACUGUGCACAUCUUGACGGUACCUAAUCAGAAAGCCACGGCUAACUACGUG
Molecule: ribosomal RNA, 497 nt
Filed under: uncultured bacterium
Lineage: Bacteria
Description: partial 16S ribosomal RNA
Rfam family: Bacterial small subunit ribosomal RNA
Source: RNAcentral